CCCUUAGAUGUUCUGGGCAGCACGCGCGCUACAAUGGUCUUCGCAAACGGAUGCAUUCUCGAAGGAGAAUGCCAAUCUUGGAAUCUAUGCCUUGGUCGGGACAGUUGCUUGCAAUUUUUCGACUCGAACCAGGAAUUCCUUGUAAUCGUGAUUCAUCACAUCACGAUGAAUACGUCCCUGCCCUUUGUACACACCGCCCGUCGCUCCUACCGAUCGAAGAGUUAGGUGAAUUGUUUUGAUCGAUAAGAUUUGACUAUGGUCAACUCUCGUCGUGAAAUUCUGUGAAUCUGACUGUUUAGAGGAAGGAGAAGUCGUAACA
Molecule: ribosomal RNA, 319 nt
Filed under: uncultured eukaryote
Lineage: Eukaryota
Description: partial 18S ribosomal RNA
Rfam family: Eukaryotic small subunit ribosomal RNA
Source: RNAcentral